GUCAUAUGCUUGUCUCAAAGAUUAAGCCAUGCAUGUCUCAGUACAAGCCAAAUUAAGGUGAAACCGCGAAAGGCUCAUUAAAUCAGUUAUGGUUCCUUAGAUCGUACCCACAAUUACUUGGAUAACUGUGGUAAUUCUAGAGCUAAUACAUGCAAACAGAGCUCCGACCGGAGACGGAAGGAGUGCUUUUAUUAGAUCAAAACCAAUCGGUGGCGGGUUCGCUCGUCAUCGUACAACUUGGUGACUCUGAAUAACUUUACGCUGAUCGCACGGUCAUCGCACCGGCGACGCAUCUUUCAAAUGUCUGCCUUAUCAACUGUCGAUGGUAGGUUCUGCGCCUACCAUGGUUGUAACGGGUAACGGGGAAUCAGGGUUCGAUUCCGGAGAGGGAGCCUGAGAAACGGCUACCACAUCCAAGGAAGGCAGCAGGCGCGCAAAUUACCCACUCCCGGCACGGGGAGGUAGUGACRAAAAAUAACGAUACGGGACUCAUCCGAGGCCCCGUAAUCRGAAUGA
RNAcentral lists this ribosomal RNA (516 nucleotides) under Trigonopterus yoda. RNAcentral describes it as "SSU rRNA". The record is from RNAcentral. Lineage: Eukaryota; Metazoa; Arthropoda; Insecta; Coleoptera; Curculionidae.